Molecule: ribosomal RNA, 292 nt
Filed under: uncultured bacterium
Lineage: Bacteria
Description: partial 16S ribosomal RNA
Rfam family: Bacterial small subunit ribosomal RNA
Source: RNAcentral
GUGCCAGCAGCCGCGGUAAGACGUAGGGUGCAAGCGUUGUCCGGAUUUAUUGGGCGUAAAGAGCUCGUAGGCGGCUCGUCGCGUCGACUGUGAAAACUCGGGGCUUAACCCCGGGCUUGCAGUCGAUACGGGCGGGCUAGAGUUCGGUAGGGGAGACUGGAAUUCCUGGUGUAGCGGUGAAAUGCGCAGAUAUCAGGAGGAACACCGGUGGCGAAGGCGGGUCUCUGGGCCGAUACUGACGCUGAGGAGCGAAAGCGUGGGGAGCGAACAGGAUUAGAAACCCUGGUAGUCC